RNAcentral lists this non-coding RNA (784 nucleotides) under Choristoneura murinana (European fir budworm). The record is from RNAcentral. Lineage: Eukaryota; Metazoa; Arthropoda; Insecta; Lepidoptera; Tortricidae.
AUAUAAAAUAARUUUUUUAUGAUUUAUAAAAUUUUUUAAAAUUUAUUUUACAUAUAAAUUUUAGUGUAWAUUUUUAAAUAUUUUAARAAUAUUUAAUUUWAUUAAAUUAGUAAUUAAYAUUAAAAAUUUAAGAAAUUAAGAUUUAGUAAUAUUAAAAUUAAUAACAAAUUUUGUGCCAGCAGUUGCGGUUAUACAAAAGUUAAAUUAAAUUUUAUUAGUAAUAAUUAAUAUAAAAUAAKUUAAUUUAAAUAUUAAAUUAAUAAGUGAAAUUUUAAUUUAAUUAAAAWUUAUAAUAAAAAUUAUAUGAUUUAAUAAAUUUUAAUAUAAACUAGGAUUAGAUACCCUAUUAUUAAAAAUUUAAAUUUAAAAUACUAAAAUAGUAAAUAAUUAUUUAUUUAAACUUAAAUAAUUUGGCGGUAUUUUAGUUCAUUUAGAGGAAUCUGUUUAUUAAUUGAUAAUCCACGAAUAAUUUUACUUAAUUUAUAAUUUUGUAUAUCGUUGUUAWAAAAAUAUUUUUAAAUAAAUUUAAUAUUUUAAAAUUWAAAAAGAAAAUUAAAUCAGAUCAAGAUGCAGAUAAUAAUUAAGAAUAUAAUGGAUUACAAUAAAUUUAUUUAUAUGAAUAUUAAAUUGAAAAAUUUAAUUGAAAGUGGAUUUAAAUGUAAUUUUAUUUAAUUUAAUAAAAUGAUUAAAAAUUAAAAUAUGUACAUAUUGCCCGUCGCUUUCAUUAAUAAAUUGAAAUAAGUCGUAACAAAGUAGAGGUACUGGAAAGUGUUUCUAGAAAGAA